GUGAAAUUAAUGAUUAGCUGUAACUUGUAAGUUUUCUUCCUUUUCGGUUUUUCCACCAACAGUUUCUUCAUUUUCAAUUAUAUUAAUUAGUAUGUAUUAAUUUUUGAGUAAUUAUAUUUUAAUUAAUUUUGUGUCUUUUCAUAUUUUAUAUUUUUGUACUAUAUAUAGAUUGGAAGUGUAUUUUUUUUCUUCAUGUAGUAGCUUGCUUACUAUAUUUGUUUUUAACUAGAUUGUUAGUCUAACAUAUUUUUCCUUUUUUUUCCAGAGUUGAUCAUUAUAAUAGACAUGAUUUGAUGAUAAGGAAUAAGAUUUGAAGAAUGUGGAAUGCGAUUUAUUUCAAGACAAAAGGUGAAUUGAUUUAUAAUUUUUCACUCUUCACAUAUGAAACCCAGACGACACUAAUUAAAUUCUCUUUGGUAUGUCCAAUCUCUUAUUUAACUUCUUGAUCACCUUAAUUCUCAUAAUGUAUUGUGAAAUUAUGUAUGUUGAAGUUAUUAUAUAUUUUUUUUAUAGAAUGUGUUUGGCAAGUGGACUAACUAAUGUGGAAUACAAAGUCAUCCAUGAGACAAAGAACAAAUUGAGAUGAUUGAUGAGAAAAUUUGUGGGAGAAUACUAGGGAUUCACGUACAAGUAGGAGAUGAGAAUUUAUCUUGAUAGUAAUCAUAAAUUUUCACAAUAUUUUGUUACAUUAGAUGUUUGUAUG
RNAcentral lists this long non-coding RNA (703 nucleotides) under Solanum tuberosum (potato). RNAcentral describes it as "long non-coding RNA (STUB_LNC002146)". Lineage: Eukaryota; Viridiplantae; Streptophyta; Magnoliopsida; Solanales; Solanaceae. The record is from RNAcentral.